RNAcentral lists this ribosomal RNA (559 nucleotides) under uncultured bacterium. Its description in RNAcentral is "bacterial SSU rRNA". It matches the Rfam family "Bacterial small subunit ribosomal RNA", at positions 120 to 674 of the family's 1533-position model. The record is from RNAcentral.
GGGAAACUGCCCGAUGGAGGGGGAUAACUACUGGAAACGGUAGCUAAUACCGCAUAACGUCGCAAGACCAAAGUGGGGGACCUUCGGGCCUCACACCAUCGGAUGUGCCCAGAUGGGAUUAGCUAGUAGGUGGGGUAAUGGCUCACCUAGGCGACGAUCCCUAGCUGGUCUGAGAGGAUGACCAGCCACACUGGAACUGAGACACGGUCCAGACUCCUACGGGAGGCAGCAGUGGGGAAUAUUGCACAAUGGGCGCAAGCCUGAUGCAGCCAUGCCGCGUGUAUGAAGAAGGCCUUCGGGUUGUAAAGUACUUUCAGCGGGGAGGAAGGCGGUGAAGUUAAUAGCUUCACCGAUUGACGUUACCCGCAGAAGAAGCACCGGCUAACUCCGUGCCAGCAGCCGCGGUAAUACGGAGGGUGCAAGCGUUAAUCGGAAUUACUGGGCGUAAAGCGCACGCAGGCGGUUUGUUAAGUUGGAUGUGAAAGCCCCGGGCUCAACCUGGGAACUGCAUCCAAAACUGGCAAGCUAGAGUACAGUAGAGGGUGGUGGAAUUUCCUGU